This 501-nucleotide ribosomal RNA is filed under the name uncultured bacterium. RNAcentral describes it as "partial 16S ribosomal RNA". It matches the Rfam family "Bacterial small subunit ribosomal RNA", at positions 30 to 523 of the family's 1533-position model. The record is from RNAcentral.
AUUGAACGCUGGCGGCAGGCUUAACACAUGCAAGUCGAGCGGAGAUGAGGUGCUUGCACCUUAUCUUAGCGGCGGACGGGUGAGUAAUGCUUAGGAAUCUGCCUAUUAGUGGGGGACAACAUUCCGAAAGGAAUGCUAAUACCGCAUACGUCCUACGGGAGAAAGCAGGGGAUCUUCGGACCUUGCGCUAAUAGAUGAGCCUACGUCGGAUUAGCUAGUUGGUGGGGUAAAGGCCUACCAAGGCGACGAUCUGUAGCGGGUCUGAGAUGAUGAUCCGCCACACUGGGACUGAGACACGGCCCAGACUCCUACGGGAGGCAGCAGUGGGGAAUAUUGGACAAUGGGGGGAACCCUGAUCCAGCCAUGCCGCGUGUGUGAAGAAGGCCUUAUGGUUGUAAAGCACUUUAAGCGAGGAGGAGGCUACUGAGACUAAUACUCUUGGAUAGUGGACGUUACUCGCAGAAUAAGCACCGGCUAACUCUGUGCCAGCCGCCGCAGUAA